This 171-nucleotide ribosomal RNA is filed under the name uncultured bacterium. RNAcentral describes it as "partial 16S ribosomal RNA". The stretch from base 1 to 77 matches the Rfam family "Bacterial small subunit ribosomal RNA", at positions 796 to 873 of the family's 1533-position model. The record is from RNAcentral.
CACGCCGUAAACGAUGGAUGCUAGCCGUUGGGCAGCUUGCUGCUCAGUGGCGCAGCUAACGCAUUAAGCAUCCCGCCUGGGGAGUNGCGCAGAACCUUACCAACCCUUGACAUGUCCAGUAUGGGUUUCAGAGAUGAGACCCUUCAGUUCGGCUGGCUGGAACACAGGUGC